This 390-nucleotide ribosomal RNA is filed under the name uncultured bacterium. RNAcentral's name for it is "bacterial SSU rRNA". It matches the Rfam family "Bacterial small subunit ribosomal RNA", at positions 28 to 420 of the family's 1533-position model. The record is from RNAcentral.
GACGAACGCUGGCGGCGUGCUUAACACAUGCAAGUCGAGCGGUAAGGCCCUUUCGGGGGUACACGAGCGGCGAACGGGUGAGUAACACGUGGGUGACCUGCCCUUAGCUCUGGGAUAAGCCUGGGAAACUGGGUCUAAUACCGGAUAUGACUCCAUGACGCAUGUUGUGGGGUGGAAAGCCUUGUGCGGCUAGGGAUGGGCCCGCGGCCUAUCAGCUUGUUGGUGGGGUGAUGGCCUACCAAGGCGACGACGGUAGCCGGCCUGAGAGGGCGACCGGCCACACUGGGACUGAGACACGGCCCAGACUCCUACGGGAGGCAGCAGUGGGGAAUCUUGCGCAAUGGGCGAAAGCCUGACGCAGCGACGCCGCGUGAGGGAUGACGGCCUCGG